AGGAAAUUAAACGUCAUAAAGAAAAGCCCAAUUAGGGUUUAAUGUCCGAACAUUACCAUUUCCUCCAGAAAACAAUGAAGUUCACUCGCUGAUGUGGCUUGGAGUUCAGGCCACGACCCGCUCGGAAGAGAAGAUGGACCUUUCCCAGCCAGUCUGGUAGACGCCUCCGAAAAUGGAACCAAAAGGAAUGCGAGACUGCAGCCCUCAUCCUGGUUUUUAUGGUAGUCGCUUUGGUGGUCAAAUUCAAGUGCUAUGACUCCACAGCUGUCUCCUGCUCGCAGGAAGUCAGCAAAUCCUAUACUUUAAACUGGGUUUAAAAAACAAAACGACGCCAGGGCUUGGUGCGGGGAUAUUUACCUACUCGGAGCAAUAAAUUCUUCAUGCACCUACAAGACAGAUCUCCUGGAGCUGCUCCCCGCAUCUUUUGAGCCACUGAGCUAACUUCUUUCCCACCUCUGCUAUUCGGUUUGCCCUUAAGAACAGCACAAAACCCCCGGACCUUUCUUGGGAAAUGUGCAUUAUUUUAUUUUAUUUUAUUUUUUGGUACUAGCCCAUUGCUCAUCCCCAUCUGAGUUCGUUUCUCUCCCAUGCAGGCUGCAAAGAGAAGGGAACUGGGGGGUGGUGGUGGGGUGGGGAAUAAUUACGCUCAUAAACAAUAGCUUAACAUUAUUAGUUUGUAGUUAGUAUUAAUAUUGGUCCAUAAAAAGCCAAGUUAAAAGAUUGCUGACGCUUUAAUUAAAAGUUUCGCCCCAAACGACGUCAAAGCCAUAAAAUGGAGCAGAUUACCCAACUAAGGGACUCUCUCUUCAUAGCCAGCGCGCUUUUCUUGAUAUUUAUCAGCCAGCCGUGCAUUUGAGAGGCAGACACAAGCUCAGGUUGCCUUUCAGACCCAUUUAUAUACACCCCCAUCCCUUAUUAAAAAAAAAAAAAAGAAGAAGGGUUUAUGAGGAGGGCCCGCGCCUUUUCGACAGAUAUACCCAGCCAGAGAAAAAUCCGGGAGAGUAAAAACAAAAAAAAAUUAAAAUAAAAAAAAUCAAAUCAAAUGAAAGGCACUGUUGCAUGAAGGUGGGCAGCAGCUCGGAGACCCAGAAAGAGUCCCCUCUCUUAGCAGGGGCAGCCGCCAUAUUCGCCCCCAGACUCCGCAUUAAAUAAACUGAAUUUCAGGCAUAUCGCAAUACAAACACCCUGGUUUUGACGGCUAGGCUGCAGGGUCCAGCGGAUUUCAGCUCCGAUCUUAGCUCUGCUGAAAGAUCCUGACUUGUCGGGGGGGGAUCUCUCAAGAUAAGCAACUUUUUCCAAGCCCUUAUUCAUUUCAUUAGCUUUAUUAUUAUGACUACUCUUAUCAGUCUUACUAUUUCUCCAGCUGCAGCCAUCCUCCGCCUCUUCCCUGAAGCGUGUGCAGGAAGGAUUCCCCCCCUGCAUUUCUAUGAAUAUUGCCUAGAAAUGAAGCUGUCUGGAGACUAAAACGGGGGAGACAAAUAUAUAUAUAUAUAUAGAGAGAGAGAGAGAGAGAGACUGGCGGAAAUGAAAAUGAACCGUUUCUAGGCUGAAUGAGCAGAUUUUGUGAGCUGGACAGUUUGCAUCUGAUGUCUCUCUCGAGCUUAAUUGCUGCUUUGAGGAGUUGCCUGUUGUUGCCCAGUCCCCAAAAUAAAAAUAAAAUAAAUACAAAACCAAUAAAUUCCCCUUUAUUAGAGGCUUCUGAGCCCCUUUGCAAUAUUGUUCCUGCUUUAUCGAGUGCCUUGCUUUUUUUCCCCACCUUUUCUCUCUCUUCUUUCUGAUUUCUCUGGAAAAGAUACACUCAAUAAAAGCAUUUUGACUCUA
Long non-coding RNA from Alligator mississippiensis (American alligator), 1821 nucleotides. RefSeq lists it as uncharacterized. NCBI's taxonomy places the organism in Eukaryota, Metazoa, Chordata, Crocodylia, Alligatoridae. The transcript is spliced from 3 exons. The record is from RefSeq and is a predicted model, not a curated record.